GGGGCCAUAGCUCAGCCGGGAGAGCACCUGCUUUGCACGCAGGGGGUCAGCGGUUCGAUCCCGCUUGGCUCCACCA
This 76-nucleotide transfer RNA is filed under the name Francisella philomiragia. RNAcentral's name for it is "tRNA-Ala (TGC) (tRNA-Ala-TGC-2-1)". It matches the Rfam family "tRNA". Rfam says of the family: Transfer RNA (tRNA) molecules are approximately 80 nucleotides in length. Their secondary structure includes four short double-helical elements and three loops (D, anti-codon, and T loops). Lineage: Bacteria; Pseudomonadati; Pseudomonadota; Gammaproteobacteria; Thiotrichales; Francisellaceae. The record is from RNAcentral.